This 1200-nucleotide ribosomal RNA is filed under the name uncultured bacterium. Its description in RNAcentral is "bacterial SSU rRNA". It matches the Rfam family "Bacterial small subunit ribosomal RNA", at positions 199 to 1384 of the family's 1533-position model. The record is from RNAcentral.
GACCAAAGAUGCCUUCGGGUGUCGCUUUGAGAUUGGCUCGCGGCCUAUCAGCUAGUUGGUGAGGUAAAGGCUCACCAAGGCAACGACGGGUAGCUGUUCUGAGAGGAAGAUCAGCAACACUGGAACUGAGACACGGUCCAGACACCUACGGGUGGCAGCAGUCGAGAAUCAUUCACAAUGGGGGAAACCCUGAUGGUGCAACGCCGCGUGGAGGAUGAAGGCCCUAGGGUCGUAAACUCCUGUCAUAUAAGAGUAAGGCAUAUUUGGUUAAUACCCAUAUAUGUUUGAUAGUAUUAUAAGAGGAAGGGACGGCUAACUUCGUGCCAGCAGCCGCGGUAAUACGAAGGUCCCGAGCGUUAUUCGGAAUCACUGGGCGUAAAGAGUACGUAGGCGGUCAGGUAAGUCAGGUGUGAAAUCCCGGAGCUCAACUCCGGAACUGCAUCCGAUACUGCUUGACUUGAGUAAUGGAGAGGCAGGUGGAAUUCUCGGUGUAGCAGUGAAAUGCGUGGAUAUCGAGAGGAAGACCAAUGGCGAAAGCAGCCUGCUGGACAUUUACUGACGCUGAGGUACGAAGGCUAGGGUAGCGAAAGGGAUUAGAUACCCCUGUAGUCCUAGCAGUAAACGGUGCGCGCUUGGUGUAGGAGGACUCGACCCCUUCUGUGCCGGAGCUAACGCGUUAAGCGCGCCGCCUGGGGAGUACGGUCGCAAGACUAAAACUCAAAGAAAUUGACGGGGACCCGCACAAGCGGUGGAGUAUGUGGCUUAAUUCGAUGCAACGCGAAGAACCUUACCAAGGCUUGACAUGUAUUGCUAAGCACGUGAAAGCGUGUGACCCUUCGGGGACCUUACACAGGUGCUGCAUGGCCGUCGUCAGCUCGUGUCGUGAGAUGUUUGGUUAAGUCCAGCAACGAGCGCAACCCCUGUGAAUAGUUGCCAGCACGUAAUGGUGGGGACUCUAUUCAGACUGCCCGGGUCAACCGGGAGGAAGGUGGGGAUGACGUCAGGUCAGUAUGGCCCUUACGCCUUGGGCUGCACACGUACUACAAUGCCCAGAACAAUGAGAACCGAUCCCGCGAGGAGGAGGAAAUCUACAAAACUGGGCCCAGUUCGGAUUGGAGGCUGCAACUCGCCUCCAUGAAGUUGGAAUCGCUAGUAAUGGCACAUCAGCUACGGUGCCGUGAAUACGUUCCCGGGUCUUGU